AGUCCUCUUGCCGCCUGCCCUCCGCCUUGUCUGCUCCAGGGAAAACUUUAAAAAGUCCUCCCUCCCUCACCCCGGUCAUUAGAGUUGGGAUCUCUGCCCAGCUUCCUGAUUUCUUUUGUCCCCUUGGAAUUCUUCUGCCCUAUGGUUUUAGAAAACAAGUUGAACCUUUCCAGGGCUCCAGAGAGGAGGCCUGCACCCCACCCUGGCCCUCUGAGUGGUGGUAAAAAUGCCUCACAUUCCUGGGUUAAGAGGCUGGCUUUUUUUUUUUUAAACUGCUCAGCACUGGGAUGACCCAGGGGAGCAAUGGGAAGUGAGAAGGAUCCCCUCACACGUCCUCAGCUCCCUGGCACCCCAGGACUGCGCAGGGCCAGCGGGCUGGCAGGAAAGGCCGGACCCCAUGGGGACCCAGAGAAAGAGGUGCCAGAGCCCCUGAAUGGUAAAGAGCACGUCCGCAGGGCUUCUGUGGGCACAGUGGUGGUGCCCGGCACCAGUCUCCAGGGUGGCCCCUCCGGGCGUCCUGUAGGAUUCUUGUUAGAGGCCCCACAAUGCUGAGCCUGGCCUGGCACCCAGCAGGUGCUGCGUAAUGGUUCAUGGCAGGAUGGGUAAACUGCGUGAGGGGUAGAUAUGGGGUGUCAGAUUUGAUCUCUGGGAGGGGUGCUUCUGUGUUGGGGCUUCUGUGACCUGCUGCAGGCCAGACAUCCAGACUCCAAGUGACUCCAUUUACAGCCCUGUGACUGCAUGGAUCACAGAUCACAGAUGAAGGGGCCGCAGCCAGAGAGGGUAAGUAACUCACUCAAGGGCGCACAGCAGGUAAACGCAGGGGUCCGUGGGUAUGUAUGAGGAGUCUGGAAUGCACCUCCUUUGGGAACGGGAAGUAGGAGCAAAGGCCUGGGUCGGGGCAGCCAUGUGAGAUCCUUGGGGAAACCAGAAGGCUCAGAGCUGUGAGGCUGCCUGGCAGGAGAGGGGCAAGACAUCUGGGGACAGGCCGGCAGGCGCUGGGUUAAGUGGGGCCCAGAGGUCACGGUGAGGAGUUUGCACUUUGCUGUGUCAAAUCUGUCAGACCUCUAGGUCGCAUGUCCUUUGGAGAGAUGCUUUGCUGCUAGCAGAUUCCCGGGAACACUGCGUGCUGACCGCUGGUAAAGCCCUCGGGCAGUCAGAUCGCAGGAUGGCCCUGGUCCUCCUGGGGUCCAAGGUGCUCAGCCUGCUCUGGGACAGUGGACUGUUUGCUCAGUUUGCCCCCAGAAGUGCAAUGGGAUGGGUGCAGGGGCAGCAGUGACCUGGGCCAGGGCCAGGGCACCCCAGUCCUACCCAGAUCUCAAGCUCUACUCUGCAAAUUCGGAGACCCCAGGCAGUCUCUGGGGCACUCCUGUCCACCUGGAGUGACACUGGCUCAACACGACAACGGCCGCCUACUCAGCACUUGUGGCGGAUGACCUUGGUGACUCAGCAUCCAGCUGCUGGUCACACCCUUCUGUCACCAUUUUCCCAGAUGCUAGGAAAAUGACAAAGACAGCCAAGCCUCCAAAUCUGGGUGGCUCUUUAACAUUCUGCAAAAUGCGACUGCAAACCUGAUUUGUCCUGAUCCCCACACAAAUCCAGAAGCCAGGUGGACACGAUUUGUCCUCCUAUUUAAAGAUGAAGAAAUGGAGAAGCCAAGUAUAGAAGAGGCAGCUUGCUCAGGAUUUGUUCACACUUGGGACCAAGUAAGACAUUCACGGCAAUUUUAGACCCUUUGUUUGGUCAGGUGCUGGCUUACUAUCUUUUUUUUUUUUUUUUUUUUGACAGAGUUGAUUUGUGGCCCAGAUUGGGCUUAAACUUGGAACCCUUCUGGCUCCGCCUCCUGGGUGCUGGCAUUACAGGGUUGUUGGGAAGAUUUAAACAAGUCUGGCUGCAGGAUGUUAGUGGACAGAGCUGGCCACUGGAAUUCCAACCCAGACUAAAGCAUCUAACUGCUGUGUGACCUGGGGCACAUGACCUCCCCACUCUGAGCUUUUCAUAGGCCAAAAGUGACUGAGAUGGCUUUUGUGCUCACCCCUGUAUACACCUGGAAAGAGACGGAAGGGCUCCACGGGUCCUUCCAAGUCUUUGGUGAGAGAGGAAUUUACGGAGGGGACGAAGGACAACACAUUGCAUGCACAGUCUGCGCACAGAGUCACCCUCUCUGAUCCCAUGUGCUCCCUCCCAGCCGGCAGAGCGCUGCACCCUUUCCCCAGGUGCUGACAUUAGGCUUCUCCGUCUCUGUGUCUCCCUCUCCCUUGCCCAGAACUUCUGGGGUCUGCGCUUGGAUCUGCCAGCCGGCCCCAGGAAGCUGUUUGCAUCUUUGCCCAGAAUAAAGUUUCUGAACUCUC
Long non-coding RNA from Cavia porcellus (domestic guinea pig), 2348 nucleotides. RefSeq lists it as uncharacterized. The record is from RefSeq and is a predicted model, not a curated record. The transcript has 3 exons. NCBI's taxonomy places the organism in Eukaryota, Metazoa, Chordata, Mammalia, Rodentia, Caviidae.